RNAcentral lists this ribosomal RNA (467 nucleotides) under uncultured bacterium. Its description in RNAcentral is "partial 16S ribosomal RNA". It matches the Rfam family "Bacterial small subunit ribosomal RNA", at positions 28 to 506 of the family's 1533-position model. The record is from RNAcentral.
GACGAACGCUGGCGGCGUGCUUAACACAUGCCAGUCGAACGGAAAGGCCCUGCUUUUGUGGGGUGCUCGAGUGGCGAACGGGUGAGUAACACGUGAGUAACCUGCCCUUGACUUUGGGAUAACUUCAGGAAACUGGGGCUAAUACCGGAUAGGAGCUCCUGCUGCAUGGUGGGGGUUGGAAAGUUUCGGCGGUUGGGGAUGGACUCGCGGCUUAUCAGCUUGUUGGUGGGGUAGUGGCUUACCAAGGCUUUGACGGGUAGCCGGCCUGAGAGGGUGACCGGCCACAGUGGGACUGAGAUACGGCCCAGACUCCUACGGGAGGCAGGAGUGGGGAAUAUUGCACAAUGGGCGGAAGCCUGAUGCAGCAACGCCGCGUGCGGGAUGACGGCCUUCGGGUUGUAAACCGCUUUCGCCUGUGACGAAGCGUGAGUGACGGUAAUGGGGAAAGAAGCACCGGCUAACUACGU